AAGCUUCAGAAUGAUCACUUACCAACCAUGUAAGAUUCCCUUCAUCAUAUGCAUGAAAUAGAUUCAAAUAAUCUGUACAUUAAAUCAAACAAACAUACCCUCCAUCAAUACACUUAAAACUUUCAAUAUUAUAUAAUAAAUACAUAGGGAGAAUGUCUUACAUGGUUUCCUUUCACAUUAGCCAUAAUAAAAGCAAAUUGUUCUUUUACUGAUCAAAUUCAGCAACUUUUGCUUUUAGCGCUUCAACUUCAACAACUUGUGUAGUUAGCGCAUCAAUUUCGCUUUACAUCUUGGCUAUUUUGACAUCCGCAACUAAUGUUGAAUGACGAGAACUAUGUCCAAAAAUCUGAGAUGGUGUUACACCAAGUCCUACUCCUCGAACAUACCCAUUAUGCUCUUCCCCGAACACUUUCACAAAGGAUUGAUUCACCGAAUUCGAUGCACAAAUUUCUUUUUGUAACUCUUCC
Molecule: long non-coding RNA, 467 nt
Filed under: Trifolium pratense (red clover)
Lineage: Eukaryota; Viridiplantae; Streptophyta; Magnoliopsida; Fabales; Fabaceae
Description: long non-coding RNA (TPRA_LNC005517)
Source: RNAcentral